Long non-coding RNA from Aegilops tauschii subsp. strangulata, 1917 nucleotides. RefSeq lists it as uncharacterized. NCBI's taxonomy places the organism in Eukaryota, Viridiplantae, Streptophyta, Magnoliopsida, Poales, Poaceae. The record is from RefSeq and is a predicted model, not a curated record.
UUUAUCCUUGAAUAAAAAUAGUGCUCAACUUUCCCCCUCUUUCGCCAAGUGUGCAUAUGGAAAUACCCUUCCGUAUAAAAAAGGGCUUUGACCGUCUAAGGGGCGUUUCCUGGACAUUUUUACCCUCACUGCGUAUGUCACUUACAUGUGGGCCACUUCAUCCUAGAAAAAAAGAAAAAAAACUCUCUCCCUGCCACCUCUCUUUAUGUCCCUUGCAUGUGGGCCUAGCAAGAAAAAAAGGAAAAUAAAAGGGAAACUCUCUCUCUCUCUCACCUCUGUCUCUCCCAACUCCGGCGAACCCGAUGCCCCGACCUGCGCCGCUGCGGCCGCGAGCUCCACACCAAUCUUCGCGCUCCUCUCUCUCUCUCUCUCGCCCUAGUUCUCUUCCAUCUCUAUCCCUCUCCCGCAAGAAUGCCCGAGAGCCCCAGGUUGCCGUCGUCAGCCGCGCACGCGUCCAGCAGCAACCCCAAGUGCCAAGACCUCGUCAGGAAGCUCUGACGAGAUGCCCUCGUCCUCUUAUCUAAUGAAUUCGAGUAGUGAAGGACCGGAUAGGCUCCCACGAUGUCAUCUUCCCCGCCUCUCGCCUCGGCCCGCCGUCGUUGAUUUGAUGCCGUUGAAGUGCCCCGCCCGAUAUCUGUCGCUCCCCGAGGAUCCCGAGGUGCCGCAGAAGACGUAGACGUCCUCCACAGCAAGCCAGUGACCCAGGGCCUCUUCCCCACGAGCUCUGAGCCCUGCCAUGGCCGCUGUCGCGGGAUUUCUCAUCGUCGUUGACUCCGGCGACAGAUGGGCCUAAUCCACCACCUCUCAAUGCGUCAGAGCCAGGGCUAUUGCCGGGUGCCCUCAGUCAGCCUCCCCGCCGCUUCGUGGCGUCCCUCCACCGAAGGAUUUGGCCGCCGCCUGCAAUCCUCGACCCAAACCCUUUGUUUUCCUUUUUUAGAAACAAAUACAGUAAUAUUUAUCCAUAUGUGGUUGGUUGUUGCCAACAAAAUUAUUUUCUCCUAAUCAGAUUUGGCUCUCUCAAUCUAUUUUCUUUACCGCCUAAACCUCCCGCGUUUCUCAAAACUUUCUGAGUCAUAUAAUUAUAAUCCCAAUUAUUUCUCCCCACGACGCCAUCUCCCACCUCCCCAUUUCAACCUCCCGAACCAAUCUGCGCCCCGGGCGCCGCCCGAUCUCCCACCCCACACGGCGGCAGCCUCAUCCUGAAGCGCCGCCCUCUGCCGCUAGUUUCGCCCGACGCCGACUCCCAUUCUCCUCCAUCCGCAGCGGCGGCAGUUGGAGCCCUGCCGGCGUCUGUCGUCCUCACCAACACGAAGCCGUGCUCCCUCCUGACGUCGUCCUCACCGUCACCAAGCCGCAUCCACGGCGGUCUCAUCUCUCACCCGAAGCACCAUGGCGAGUUUCGUCGCUACACCACCCACAAGCAGCGCCCGCCUCCUGCCAGCAUCUUCAGCCUCCGCCACGUCAAGCAGCCUGCAGGGGUCUUGGAAAUAUGUGACCACUGUCUUGAGGUACUGAUGUCAGCCUAAUUUCCAUCCAUUGCUCCAGAUAUAGCACCCUUGUGUCCAAAAUCAAAAUCUCACCCAAAGUGAUGCAGAGCUACCUACUGGGUAGCUGAAAAUUUAGAAAAGGAGUGCAUAGAAGGAGCCAGGAGCAAGUACAGAAGAGUUAGUCUUUAAAUGAACAAUAUUUUGAAUUAUGUAUUAGAUUAUAACUUCAUAGGAAAACUUUGUUCUAGUUUACAGGAUCUUUUCAUAAUUAUUUGUAUCUUUCAUAUGAAUGUCUCAUUUGAUUCAAUUAUGAACUCAAGGUGUUUGUUCCUACUAAUUAGUGCACUGCUUGUUUUUUACUAAGGAUGCUAAUUGUGCAAAUGGUAUUAUAGUGAAUGCAAUUGGUGAUAUGGGCGGAUGCCUUAUUAUA